GAUGAACGCUGGCGGCGUGCCUAAUACAUGCAAGUCGAACGCUUUGUGGUUCAACUGAUUUGAAGAGCUUGCUCAGAUAUGACGAUGGACAUUGCAAAGAGUGGCGAACGGGUGAGUAACACGUGGGAAACCUACCUCUUAGCAGGGGAUAACAUUUGGAAACAGAUGCUAAUACCGUAUAACAAUGACAACCGCAUGGUUGUUAUUUAAAAGAUGGUUCUGCUAUCACUAAGAGAUGGUCCCGCGGUGCAUUAGCUAGUUGGUAAGGUAAUGGCUUACCAAGGCGAUGAUGCAUAGCCGAGUUGAGGGACUGAUCGGCCACAAUGGGACUGAGACACGGCCCAUACUCCUACGGGAGGCAGCAGUAGGGAAUCUUCCACAAUGGGCGAAAGCCUGAUGGAGCAACGCCGCGUGUGUGAUGAAGGGUUUCGGCUCGUAAAACACUGUUGUAAGAGAAGAAUGACAUUGAGAGUAACUGUUCAAUGUGUGACGGUAUCUUACCAGAAAGGAACGGCUAAAUACGUGCCAGCAGCCGCGGUAAUACGUAUGUUCCAAGCGUUAUCCGGAUUUAUUGGGCGUAAAGCGAGCGCAGACGGUUAUUUAAGUCUGAAGUGAAAGCCCUCAGCUCAACUGAGGAAUUGCUUUGGAAACUGGAUGACUUGAGUGCAGUAGAGGAAAGUGGAACUCCAUGUGUAGCGGUGAAAUGCGUAGAUAUAUGGAAGAACACCAGUGGCGAAGGCGGCUUUCUGGACUGUAACUGACGUUGAGGCUCGAAAGUGUGGGUAGCAAACAGGAUUAGAUACCCUGGUAGUCCACACCGUAAACGAUGAGUGCUAGGUGUUUGAGGGUUUCCGCCCUUAAGUGCCGCAGCUAACGCAUUAAGCACUCCGCCUGGGGAGUACGACCGCAAGGUUGAAACUCAAAGGAAUUGACGGGGACCCGCACAAGCGGUGGAGCAUGUGGUUUAAUUCGAAGCAACGCGAAGAACCUUACCAGGUCUUGACAUCCCUUGACAACUCCAGAGAUGGAGCGUUCCCUUCGGGGACAAGGUGACAGGUGGUGCAUGGUUGUCGUCAGCUCGUGUCGUGAGAUGUUGGGUUAAGUCCCGCAACGAGCGCAACCCUUAUUACUAGUUGCCAGCAUUCAGUUGGGCACUCUAGUGAGACUGCCGGUGACAAACCGGAGGAAGGUGGGGAUGACGUCAAAUCAUCAUGCCCCUUAUGACCUGGGCUACACACGUGCUACAAUGGCGUAUACAACGAGUUGCCAACCCGCGAGGGUGAGCUAAUCUCUUAAAGUACGUCUCAGUUCGGAUUGUAGGCUGCAACUCGCCUACAUGAAGUCGGAAUCGCUAGUAAUCGCGGAUCAGCACGCCGCGGUGAAUACGUUCCCGGGUCUUGUACACACCGCCCGUCACACCAUGAGAGUUUGUAACACCCAAAGCCGGUGGGGUAACCUUCGGGAGCCAGCCGUCUAAGGUGGGACAGAUGAUUAGGGUG
This 1499-nucleotide ribosomal RNA is filed under the name Weissella confusa. Its description in RNAcentral is "bacterial SSU rRNA". It matches the Rfam family "Bacterial small subunit ribosomal RNA". Lineage: Bacteria; Bacillati; Bacillota; Bacilli; Lactobacillales; Lactobacillaceae. The record is from RNAcentral.